RNAcentral lists this ribosomal RNA (497 nucleotides) under uncultured bacterium. RNAcentral's name for it is "partial 16S ribosomal RNA". It matches the Rfam family "Bacterial small subunit ribosomal RNA", at positions 28 to 507 of the family's 1533-position model. The record is from RNAcentral.
GAUGAACGCUGGCGGCGUGCCUAAUACAUGCAAGUCGAGCGAACGGACGAGAAGCUUGCUUUUCUGAUGUUAGCGGCGGACGGGUGAGUAACACGUGGAUAACCUACCUAUAAGACUGGGAUAACUUCGGGAAACCGGAGCUAAUACCGGAUAAUAUUUUGAACCGCAUGGUUCAAAAGUGAAAGACGGUCUUUCUGUCACUUAUAGAUUGAUCCGCGAUGCAUUAGCUAGUUGGUAAGGUAACGGCUUACCAAGGCAACGAUGCAUAGCCGACCUGAGAGGGGGAUAGGACACACUGGAACGGAGACACGGUCCAGACUCCAACGGGAGGCAGCAGUAGGGAAUCUUCCGCAAUGGGCGAAAGCCUGACGGAGCAACGCCGCGUGAGGGAUGAAGGGCUUCGGAUCGGAAAACUCUGUUAUUAGGGAAGAACAUAUGUGUAAGUAACUGUGCACAUCUUGACGGUACCUAAUCAGAAAGCCACGGCUAACUACGUG